Molecule: ribosomal RNA, 746 nt
Filed under: uncultured archaeon
Lineage: Archaea
Description: partial 16S ribosomal RNA
Source: RNAcentral
CCCUAGCUUUCGUCCCUGCCGUCAGGUCCGUUCUGGUGAGACGCCUUCGCCACUGGUGGUCCUUCAAGGAUUACAAGAUUUCACCCCUACCCCUGAAGUACCUCUCACCUCUCCCGGCCUCGAGCCGAACAGUAUCUCCUGAAAGCCCAACAGUUGAGCUGCUGGAUUUCUCAAGAGACUUAUCCGGCCGGCUACAGACCCUUUAGACCCAAUAAUAACGGUUACCACUCGAGCCGCCGGUGUUACCGCGGCGGCUGGCACCGGUCUUGCCCGGCCCUUGCUAUGCAAUGCUUUUUAUGCAUCACGACAGCCAGAUUUGUAACCUGGCGCUCGAGGUCCCCUUAUCGCCGUUGCCGGCAUUGUAAAGUUUUCGCGCCUGCUGCACCCCGUAGGGCCUGGAUUCGUGUCUCAGAAUCCAUCUCCGGGCUCUUGCUCUCACAACCCGUACCCGUCGUAGGCUAGUAGGUACGCUACACCCACUACUACCUGAUAGGCCGCAGACCCAUCCUCUGGCGCCGGAGCUUUCGAUCUCGGGGCAUUCCAGCGACCGAGAUCUAUCGGGGAUUAUACCCAGUUUCCCGGGUUUAUACCCGUCCGGAGGGUAGGUUGUCCACGUGUUACUGAGCAGUACGCCAUGUAUUGCUACAUUCGACUCGCAUGGCUUAGUCGAACCUCGAUAGCAGUAACCUCCGCCGGGAUCAACCGGAUAAGGGAGAAUUCCAGCACACUGGCGGCCGUACUAGUGG